Molecule: non-coding RNA, 209 nt
Organism: Lactuca sativa (garden lettuce)
Lineage: Eukaryota; Viridiplantae; Streptophyta; Magnoliopsida; Asterales; Asteraceae
Source: RefSeq, a predicted model, not a curated record
AGGUUGGUGAACGUUUUGGUCCAGCCUCAAAGUUUGCACCUGGCUUAUUGUUCAGACACUCUGGACAUAGGGAUAAGGUGGUUGAUUUCCACUGGAACUCGCAUGAUCCAUGGACAAUUGUCAGUGUGUCGGAUGAUGGUGAAAGCACAGGUGGCGGUGGAACUCUACAGAUAUGGAGGAUGAUUGAUUUGAUUCAUAGACCACAGGAA